RNAcentral lists this unclassified non-coding RNA (4873 nucleotides) under Leishmania donovani. RNAcentral describes it as "gene:LdHU3.11.0410(CDS-product:DNA_repair_and_rec ombination_helicase_protein_PIF2_putative)". The record is from RNAcentral. Lineage: Eukaryota; Euglenozoa; Kinetoplastea; Trypanosomatida; Trypanosomatidae.
CAUCGCCAGCUUCCCCCGUGCGUUCUGCAGAAAAGUGUACACAGCUGAUGGUGAAGGCGAAGACACGGGACAAGGGGCGGUGGAGAGGCGGCGGUGGCUCGUACUGCGCCAGGGGAGCGUACAUCGCUGUAGCGUCAUCGGUGGUAGAGCCACUCCACUGCAAAAGAAGACAACGGCAGCUCGCGCAGCUGACUGUGGCGGCAGUGCACGUAACGCGGCACACAGCAGCACGGCGGUGGUACCACUCGCAGUCCAGGGAGCCUCCGAGUGGCGGUGAUUUGUCACCACGUGCUGAAUGUGGGCCCGCGCCAUCGAGCGAAGCGGCUCCGUCCGAGUAUGGGGACGCGAAGGAGGAGCGCCCAUCUCUGCUCAGCGAGCUGCUUCGCCGACUACAACAGACGGCAGGUGUCUCGGCCGGCGGCAGGUGCGCGAGUGCACACGCCGCGGACUUGCCGAUGGAGAUCAGUGCUCAGGAGGGGGCAGCAGUGCCCGCUGCAGCGUCAUCGGCUCUGGAUGCGUCUAGCCGUCACGAUUGUCUACGCAGUUCGGCAGGGGCCGAGGAAGAGGCGUACGUGCCGCUCCUCUUCCGGCCCGACUUUCAGCGCGCCAACCCACACGCGCGCCGGCACGCCGCCGCUGCGAUUACAGCAGCGGAGCCAGAAGCAGCGGCACCAACGAUCACAGUCGAUCUUCGUUGGCGUGCCGUAGACGAGUGCGGCGUGCAGGCGGCACGCGGCAGUUUACGGAAACGCACCUCACACAAAACGCUUAAGCCAGUUGCACUCGAGGCCGCACCUGCGGCAGCGCGCUCACUCGCGCCACGCGGGGAUGCGGAAGCGGCCAAAUUAGGCGAUCCACACACAGAUGUCGCUGCAUCGCCUGCGUUGGUGUGCAAUGACGACGCGCUUCUCGAAGAGUUCGACAUGGACAGCAUCUCUGCCUUUGAUCUAGGUGGCGAACAGGGAGAGGGGCGCGCGAUCAACGAGGAGAGGGAUCAACAGCUCGAUGGCGACGCCUCCGCGGCGGCAGCAUCACCAGCACAUCAGGAAGGCGUUUCGAAAGACAACUGGGAUGAUCAGGCGUACGGCGCUGUUGAAAAGGACAUCGAAGACGUGGAAGAUUGUAUCAGCGACGAUGCCCUGCCCGUCGCACCUGCCGCCUCUGUCGGUGAUGCUGUGCGGACAGCCGAUAAGCGCACUCGCCAGCUCAUAUUGGACCCAGUGGAGUGGCUGGCCCAGGCCUCCGACGCGCCGCUCAUGGACGAGGCCCUGCUCGAGUCGAACACGCACAUCAAGGACCAACUUACUGAGGCACUCGCGCCGUCCGCUGCCGCCAAGUACACGGAGUGGCUUCGCCAUCGAACGCACGAUGCCGCCUUCAGCGACGCGGAGGCGGCAAUCGGCGAAGCGCCGCCGAGCGCGGGCCAUGUGGUAGCGAUGGUCGCCAAGGGCUUUGAACCGGCAACGGCAGCAUUUAUGGCAUCAGCAUCGCAGCAGAGCAUCGACGCCGAGGAAGACACGAGCUUGCAGGAGGCGCUGACUGCUGAGCUUUACGCCGACGUUUCUCGAGCCAUCCGCAAGCAGCAGUGGCACCGACCGCGCAACAAGAAGGCGAAGCGCGGCAAGGCGGCCGCCGCCGCCUCCUCGAUUCAUGCUGACACAGACGGAGACCGCCUCACGGAUGCAGAGCACCCGUCAGAGGCGCCUCUGAGUCGUGAGAACGACGCGGCAACGAUGGAAGCCGAGGCACCGCCUCCUGCCGCCCAGUCUGCAGCCCCCCUCAACCCAGACGAGGGUGCAGAUGGAACCGUUGGCGGUGCGCUGCCGGCACCUUGUCACCAAGUCGCUACCGCCUUGCUCAGGGCACCGAAGAGGGAUAGCACGACUGCGCCAGCGGUGGAGUCGGGCGCACUCGUCUACAACAUUUUUACGCGCCGUGUCGCCAAGGCUGGAUCGAUGAGCAUCCGCACACUGGCACUGAUGGGCAUCGGCGUCGACCGAGCCACGCGUGAGCUCUGCGUGACGGACGGCGAGGCACUGCGGAACCUCGCUGGCGAGCUGCGUGCCCACCGUGUCUCCUGGCCAAAGUUCUGGUCGCGCGGCCCCCUUUAUCAACAGAUUGAGCGUCUCCUGAGCGAUGCGACCGUCGAGGACCCCGUGGAGCGAGUGUCUGGGCUGCUGAAGUUGCAGUACAGCCGAUCCCACCUGCAGCGGCAGAAGCCUGGUCUUGUCGUAUGCGGAGAGACGACAGAGUCGGAGCAAACACCAUCAGCGGCUGUAGAGGCGACCACUGCACAGCCUAGUAUGAUGGAGAGCAUCGAUGAUAAGCUCCUCACCCUUCAGGACCUUAACACGGAGCAGCAAGCCGUCGUGCAGCUGGUCAUGCAGGGACAUCAUACGUACAUCGGUGGCGGCGCUGGCACGGGCAAGUCGGUGCUGCUCCGUGUCAUCAAGCAGCAGCUUGUUCGUGAAGGGCUGGCUGUGGCUGUCACGGGGACGACUGGCAUUGCCGGCUCUCAGAUCGGCGGGUGCACGCUGCAUCACUGUCUCGGUAUCAGCCCUCUCGGCGAGUUCACGCGUCGCAAGGACUUGAGCAGCUACGACGUCAUUAUCAUUGAUGAGGUGUCGAUGCUUUCACGAGAUCUCUUCGAGUCGCUGGAGGUGCACCUGCGCCGCGCCAACAACAUCAACCUCCCCUUCGGCGGUGUGCAGAUGAUACUGAGUGGCGACUUUCUGCAGCUCGGCGCCAUUCACGCGCAGCCGCUCAUCACGUCCACUGUCUUCCGCCGCAACUUCGUUCAGCUGAAGUUGCGCACGGCGGUGCGGCAGAACCGCGACCUGCACUUUGCCGCCCAGCUGCAGCAGCUUCGGCGCGGAAUGGUGCCACUGGACCUACCGAAAUCGGUGCGGUUCAUGUCACGAGAGCAGGUGGUGGCCGAGCACCAUGCAGCGUCUGAGCUUCGUGAGCGCCAGCAGGCUCAGCUGCAGCAGGUCCUGUCCACCGCAACCAGCGAGCCCUCCAUAGACCCUCACACGGAGACAGUGGCGACCUCCAACGCUGCCGAUGAGAGCCUUCGGACUCAGUCCGCGGCGGCGACCACGCCUGUGAGUCCGUUCCCACAAGUGAGGCGCCGCGACAGCGUGGCUGCAUUCGUGGACGGCGCUGUGAACCUGUUGCCGACGAAUCGCGAGGUCGACGCGACCAACACGGAGCAGCUGGACAGGUUGGAAGGGGAUCUCAUCACCUUUGCGCCUCAGCUCCUGCCCCCAUCCCUCGUGGGCACCUGGUCUCCGACGUAUGUGCUGCGCAUCCAUGCGCCACCGAAGCUGAACAUGAAGACGUUCGCGCUGGAGAUACGGCGGUACCUCGCCGCGUUCUACACACACGGGCAGCGUGCGUCGUCGCAGCCGUCGUCUCGCUUGUCAGCGCGACUGGCGCGUCGCGAAAAGGAUGCCGCGGCGUCCUCCAGCACCGCGGCAGCGUCGGCAAACUUCAGUGACGGCGCGUGGCUCCUGCACCCCAGCCUCAGCGAGCGCAGCAUUGUGUUGUAUCCCCUCUUCGUCGACGCCUUGGCCCUCCGGGUGCGUCUGCCGCCGACGAUGGACAAGGAAGAGGCGCAGGAGUUCUUGCUGUACCUGAGUGAGCUGGAUCGUCAUCUUGAAAGCAUCGACAACGGCGUACGGGUCCGCGACGUCCUCGUUCACGCAGACGGCAUGCACACGGAGCAGGACGAGUUCACUCUCUCGCAGUACGCCCAACGCACCCCGCUUGCCCGGCCACUGGGGCUGAAGAUUGGCGCUCGCGUGAUGCUCCGCACCAACCUUGCCCCGGGGCUCGUGAACGGAAGCCUGGGCACCGUUGUGGCCUUUCGCAAGCUGGAAAUUGACCAGCUUCCGCGUUACAUCGUUGGCAACGCGCAGCGGGAGGAAUCCAUCUUGCAGUACGCCGACUACUUGAAGUACGAGCAGGGCUUCGACGUGCCACUGGCGCCGGUAUUGGACUUCAACGGGCGGCAGGAGGUGAUCCCGCCAGUGACGCACUUUGUUGGAGGGCUGCCCAACACGCACUUCUACAGCAUGGGGAUCAUCGCCCUGCCGCUCUCCUUAGCCUACGCCUUCACGGUGCACAAGGUGCAGGGGCUCACCCUGGUGGGUCGCGUGCACCUGGAGCUGUCCCGCAUGUGGCCGUGUGAACAUCUGCUGUACGUUGCCAUGAGCCGCGUGCGCAACCCGGAGCAGCUGUCGGUAUCCUCUUUUCACCCCAGCCUAGUGCGUGCGGCGGCGGACUGCCUGCUAUUCGAUGACAGCCUGCCGCCGGUGACCCAGGCGCGAAUCGCGCCGUACAUGGUGGCGGCGACCUGGCGGCGCUCAGUGGAGCGACGCAAGAAGACGGUGCUGAGGAAGCGCCUCGAGGCGUACGUGAAGAAGCGCCAGCAGAGGCUGCAGAGUGAGGCGAGUAAAGGCGACAUCCGCGCAGAAAUACGACUCCUGGAGGAGAAGAUGCUAAAGCAGCGGGUGAGGGCGUCGGCCGCGCACCGCAAGCGUCGUAGCACCCCCGGCAAGCUGGGCGCCGUUGCUGGUUCCCCGAUGGUGUGAGAAGCGAGAGGGCCGAUAUGCCGACACCGAUUCAGCGGGUCAUAGGCGAUCCCGCAUUCCCCGAAGUAUGUCUGAGUCUGAUGUUCACUGUUUUGGCCGGUACAUGUGAGGAGGCUGCGGGGGCACCAGCACACACAGAUAUCUGUAUGCGUGCACUGUAUGCCUGUUGAUGGGCGACUCGAUGCAGAAGCCCAGCCCUCUCCACCAUCACCGCCGCCGCCACCGGCCCGCUCCCAUUGGCUUGCAGUCUGUUACCUCCUAAAAGGAAGUGAAAAUCG